AGUGAACGCUGGCGGUAGGCCUAACACAUGCAAGUCGAACGGCAGCACAGUAAGAGCUUGCUCUUACGGGUGGCGAGUGGCGGACGGGUGAGGAAUACAUCGGAAUCUACUUUUUCGUGGGGGAUAACGUAGGGAAACUUACGCUAAUACCGCAUACGACCUACGGGUGAAAGCAGGGGAUCUUCGGACCUUGCGCGAUUGAAUGAGCCGAUGUCGGAUUAGCUAGUUGGCGGGGUAAAGGCCCACCAAGGCGACGAUCCGUAGCUGGUCUGAGAGGAUGAUCAGCCACCCUGUAACUGAGGCACGGCCCAGACUCCUGCGGGAGGCCGCAGUGGGGAAUAUUGCACAAUGGGCGCAAGCCUGAUCCAGCCAUACCGCGUGGGUGAAGAAGGCCUUCGGGUUGUAAAGCCCUUUUGUUGGGAAAGAAAAGCAGCAGGUUAAUACCCCGCUGUUCUGACGGUACCCAAAGAAUAAGCACCGGCUAACUUCGUG
This 492-nucleotide ribosomal RNA is filed under the name uncultured bacterium. RNAcentral describes it as "partial 16S ribosomal RNA". It matches the Rfam family "Bacterial small subunit ribosomal RNA", at positions 29 to 507 of the family's 1533-position model. The record is from RNAcentral.